GUGCCAGCCGCCGCGGUAAUACGGAGGAUCCAAGCGUUAUCCGGAUUUAUUGGGUUUAAAGGGUGCGCAGGCGGAUCAAUAAGUCAGGGGUGAAAAAUUUCAGCUUAACUGGAAUCGUGCCUUUGAUACUGUUGGACUAGAGUAUAAUUGACGUGACUGGAAUGUGAUGUGUAGCGGUGAAAUGCUUAGAUAUGUCACAGAACGCCAAUCGUGAAGACAGGUCACGAAAUUAUUACUGACGCUCAUGCACGAAAGCGUGGGGAUCAAACAGGAUUAGAAACCCUCGUAGUCC
This 292-nucleotide ribosomal RNA is filed under the name uncultured bacterium. Its description in RNAcentral is "partial 16S ribosomal RNA". It matches the Rfam family "Bacterial small subunit ribosomal RNA", at positions 505 to 796 of the family's 1533-position model. The record is from RNAcentral.